Molecule: ribosomal RNA, 427 nt
Filed under: uncultured bacterium
Lineage: Bacteria
Description: partial 16S ribosomal RNA
Rfam family: Bacterial small subunit ribosomal RNA
Source: RNAcentral
UGGGGAAUAUUGCACAAUGGGCGCAAGCCUGAUGCAGCCAUGCCGCGUGUAUGAAGAAGGCCUUCGGGUUGUAAAGUACUUUCAGCGGGGAGGAAGGUGUUGUGGUUAAUAACCACAGCAAUUGACGUUACCCGCAGAAGAAGCACCGGCUAACUCCGUGCCAGCAGCCGCGGUAAUACGGAGGGUGCCAGCGUUAAUCGGAAUUACUGGGCGUAAAGCGCACGCAGGCGGUCUGUCAAGUCGGAUGUGAAAUCCCCGGGCUCAACCUGGGAACUGCAUCCGAAACUGGCAGGCUUGAGUCUUGUAGAGGGGGGUAGAAUUCCAGGUGUAGCGGUGAAAUGCGUAGAGAUCUGGAGGAAUACCGGUGGCGAAGGCGGCCCCCUGGACAAAGACUGACGCUCAGGUGCGAAAGCGUGGGGAGCAAACA